GGUGGACUUAUGGACCCUGCUUUUAAAUUUGUGAUCAACAAUAGGGGCAUUGAUUCAGCAGCUGAUUAUCCAUACACCAAAUCUCGAGGCUCUUGCAGUUACAACAAGUUGAACAAGAAGGCUGUAACAAUUGAUGGAUAUCAAGAUGUUGCACAAGAAGAAAGUGCCCUACUUUGUGCUGUUGCUAGACAACCUGUCAGUGUAGGCAUUGAUGGAAAAAGCCUUGAUUUUCAGCUAUAUGCAGGGGGAAUCUAUGAUGGAGAAUGCUCUAGUAAUCCAGAUGACUUAUCCCAUGCAGUACUAAUUGUAGGAUACGGUUCUGAAGGAGGAGUUGACUAUUGGAUUAUCAAGAACUC
RNAcentral lists this unclassified non-coding RNA (356 nucleotides) under Hevea brasiliensis (rubber tree). Lineage: Eukaryota; Viridiplantae; Streptophyta; Magnoliopsida; Malpighiales; Euphorbiaceae. The record is from RNAcentral.